UUGUAAAUGCGUGAGGGAUAGUAGUGGAAACCCUUUUUUGUCGGCCUUAGGAGGACAGAAAAGAUUGUAACGGAUAGCCCGACCCAAG
This 88-nucleotide small RNA is filed under the name Epilithonimonas hominis. Its description in RNAcentral is "Chryseobacterium hominis Flavo-1 RNA". It matches the Rfam family "Flavo-1 RNA". The record is from RNAcentral. Lineage: Bacteria; Pseudomonadati; Bacteroidota; Flavobacteriia; Flavobacteriales; Weeksellaceae.